GUCCAGCCGACGAGUCCCAAAUAGGACGAAACGCGCGUCCUGGAU
RNAcentral lists this non-coding RNA (45 nucleotides) under Schistosoma japonicum. The record is from RNAcentral. Lineage: Eukaryota; Metazoa; Platyhelminthes; Trematoda; Strigeidida; Schistosomatidae. RNAcentral also lists the same sequence under 1 other name.